This 1915-nucleotide ribosomal RNA is filed under the name Salmonella enterica subsp. enterica. RNAcentral describes it as "partial 23S ribosomal RNA". It matches the Rfam family "Bacterial large subunit ribosomal RNA", at positions 1 to 1921 of the family's 2925-position model. The record is from RNAcentral. Lineage: Bacteria; Pseudomonadati; Pseudomonadota; Gammaproteobacteria; Enterobacterales; Enterobacteriaceae.
AUAAAGAAAGUAAAAAAGGGCGCAUGGCGGAUGCCUUGGCUCUCGGAGGCGAUGAAGGACGUGAUAAGCUGCGAUAAGCUUUGGGGAGGUGCAAAUGACCUUUGAUCCAGAGAUUUCCGAAUGGGACAACCCAAUAUCUUGAAGAGGUAUUAUCCAACGUUGUUGGAGGCUAACGCAGGGAACUGAAACAUCUUAGUACCUGCAGGAAAAGAAAAUAAACAAUGAUUCCCCCAGUAGUGGCGAGCGAACGGGGAACAGCCCAAACCAUCCAUGUUACGGCAUGGGUGGGGUUGUAGGACUACGCCGUUGCAUGAAGACAUCAGAGAAGAACUUUCUGGAAAGAAAGACCAUAGAGCAUGACAGUUGCGUAUUCGAAUGUUGUCGAAGCAUAGUAGUAUCCUGAGUAGCGCGGAGCACGAGGAAUUCUGCGUGAAUCUGCCGGGACCAUCCGGUAAGGCUAAAUACUCCCGAGAGACCGAUAGCGAACCAGUACCGUGAGGGAAAGGUGAAAAGCACUUCGAACAGAAGAGUGAAAUAGUUCCUGAAACCGUGCGCCUACAAGCGGUCGGAGCUCGUUAAUGAGUGACGGCGUGCCUUUUGCAUAAUGAACCUACGAGUUGCCUUUGCCGGCAAGGUUAAGUGUGACGACACACGUAUCCGAAGCGAAAGCGAGUCUGAAGAGGGCGUAUAGUCGGCAGUGGCAGACGCGAAACCAAGUGAUCUACCCUUGGCCAGGUUGAAGGCUGGGUAACACCAGCUGGAGGACCGCACCAAUAAGCGUUGAAAAGCUUCUGGAUGAGCUGAGGGUAGGGGUGAAAGGCUAAUCAAACUUGGAGAUAGCUCGUACUCCCCGAAAUGCAUUUAGGUGCAGCCUUGCGGGUUACUGAUGUGAGGUAGAGCGACUGAUAAGAUGCGAGGGCUUCACCGCCUAUCAAGUCUUGACAAACUCCGAAUGCGCAUCAGUUCUACCGCAGGAGUGAGGGCAUGGGUGCUAAGGUCCGUGCCCGAGAGGAGAAGAAUCCGGACCACCUGCUAAGGUCCCGAAAUGACAGCUAAGUUAAACUAACGAAGUCUGACUGCUAAGACAGCUAGGAUGUUGGCUUGGAAGCAGCCAUUCAUUUAAAGAGUGCGUAACAGCUCACUAGUCGAGGAGUCGGGCGUGGAUAAUAAUCGGGUAUCAAGUUGUCUACCGAAGCAGUGGGAUCAUUAAUAUGAUCGGUAGGGGAGCAUUCCAGUCGGCGUCGAAGGCGUACCGUGAGGUAUUCUGGAGCGUCUGGAAAAGCAAAUGUAGGUAUAAGUAACGAUAAAGGGGGCGGGAAACCCCCUCGCCGAAAGACUAAGGUUUCCUGAUCAACGCUAAUCGGAUCAGGGUCAGUCGGGUCCUAAGGCUCAGCCGAACGGCGAUGCCGAUGGCAGAAACGGUUAAUAUUCCGUUACUACCUUCAGGAGUGACGUGGAGACGCAGUAGUGACAGUGCCGCCAUCUGACGGAAUAGAUGGUUGAAGGGUGUAGGAGUCGAUCAUGGCAGGCAAAUCCACCAUGAGAUCCGAACCUGACAGUAUGCCGCGUCCUUCGGGACAAGGCAAUAGUGCGCGUAAGCAUGCUGCCGAGAAAAUCCGCUAAACUUAAUCCUGCAGGUACCCGUACCGCAAACGGACACACGUAGUCGGGAUGAAUAUUCUAAGGCGCUUGAGUGAUUCACGGUUAAGGAACUAGGCAAACUGACCCUGUAACUUCGGGAUAAAGGGUCCCUACCCUUUUAUGGGAGGGCGCAGAGAAUCGGUCCAGGCAACUGUUUAACAAAAACACAGGGCUGUGCCAAAUCGAAAGAUCCAGUAUACAGCCUGACACCUGCCCGGUGCUGGAAGGUUAAGAGGAGAUGUCAUCGAUAAGAGAAGCGUUGAAUUGAAGCCCC